RNAcentral lists this ribosomal RNA (497 nucleotides) under uncultured bacterium. Its description in RNAcentral is "partial 16S ribosomal RNA". It matches the Rfam family "Bacterial small subunit ribosomal RNA", at positions 28 to 507 of the family's 1533-position model. The record is from RNAcentral.
GAUGAACGCUGGCGGCGUGCCUAAUACAUGCAAGUCGAACGAACAGACGAGGAUUUUGCUCCGCUCACGUUAGCCGCGGACGGGUGAGUCACAUGUGGAUAAUCUACCUAUCAGUCUGGGAACAUCACGGAACACCGGAGCUAAUCCGGGAUAAGCUAUUGCACCGCAUGGUUCAAUAGUGAAAGACGGCUUUGCUGUCACUUAUAGCUGGUUCCGGGCUGGAUUAGCUAGUUGGUAAGGUAACGGCCUACCACGGCAACGAUGCGUAACCGACCUGAGAGGGUGAUCGGCCACACUGGAACUGAGACACGGUCCAGGCUCCUACGGGAGGCAGCAGUAGGGAAUCUUCCGCAAUAGGCGAAAGCCUGACGGAGCAACGCCGCGUGAGUGAUGAAGGUCUUCGGAUCGUAAAACUCUGUUAUUAGGGAAGAACAAAUGUGUAAGUAACUAUGCACGUCUUGACGGUACCUAAUCAGAAAGCCACGGCUAACUACGUG